GUGGGGAAUAUUGCACAAUGGGGGAAACCCUGAUGCAGCAACGCCACGUGUGGGAAGAAGCAUUUCGGUGUGUAAACCACUGUCAUGAGGGAAUAAGGCCCAGUUUAGGCUGGGAUUGAAUGUACCUUGAGAGGAAGCACCGGCAAACUUCGUGCCAGCAGCCGCGGUAAUACGAGGGGUGCAAGCGUUGUUCGGAAUUACUGGGCGUAAAGGGAGCGUAGGCGGAGAUUCAAGCGGAUUGUACAAUCCCGGGGCCCAACCCCGGCUCUGCAGUCCGAACUGGAUCUCUUGGAUAGUUCAGGGGCAGGCGGAAUUCCUGGUGUAGCGGUGGAAUGCGUAGAGAUCAGGAAGAACACCGAUGGCGAAGGCAGCCUGCUGGGGACUCAUCGACGCUGAGGCUCGAAAGUGCGGGUAGCAAACAGG
RNAcentral lists this ribosomal RNA (423 nucleotides) under uncultured rumen bacterium. RNAcentral's name for it is "bacterial SSU rRNA". It matches the Rfam family "Bacterial small subunit ribosomal RNA", at positions 354 to 776 of the family's 1533-position model. The record is from RNAcentral.